RNAcentral lists this ribosomal RNA (637 nucleotides) under uncultured bacterium. Its description in RNAcentral is "bacterial SSU rRNA". It matches the Rfam family "Bacterial small subunit ribosomal RNA", at positions 607 to 1244 of the family's 1533-position model. The record is from RNAcentral.
GCUCAACCGAGGAAGUGCUUCGAAAACUGGUAAACUUGAGUGCAGAAGAGGAAAGUGGAACUCCAUGUGUAGCGGUGGAAUGCGUAGAUAUAUGGAAGAACACCAGUGGCGAAGGCGGCUUUCUGGUCUGUAACUGACGCUGAGAUUCGAAAGCAUGGGUAGCAAACAGGAUUAGAUACCCUGGUAGUCCAUGCCGUAAACGAUGAGUGCUAAGUGUUGGAGGGUUUCCGCCCUUCAGUGCUGCAGCUAACGCAUUAAGCACUCCGCCUGGGGAGUACGACCGCAAGGUUGAAACUCAAAGGAAUUGACGGGGGCCCGCACAAGCGGUGGAGCAUGUGGUUUAAUUCGAAGCAACGCGAAGAACCUUACCAGGUCUUGACAUACCAUGAAAAGCUUAGAGAUAAGUCUUUCCCUUCGGGGACAUGGAUACAGGUGGUGCAUGGUUGUCGUCAGCUCGUGUCGUGAGAUGUUGGGUUAAGUCCCGCAACGAGCGCAACCCUUAUUAUCAGUUGCCAGCAUUCAGUUGGGCACUCUGGUGAGACUGCCGGUGACAAACCGGAGGAAGGUGGGGAUGACGUCAAAUCAUCAUGCCCCUUAUGACCUGGGCUACACACGUGCUACAAUGGUCGGUACAACG